This 305-nucleotide long non-coding RNA is filed under the name Mytilus galloprovincialis (Mediterranean mussel). The record is from RNAcentral. Lineage: Eukaryota; Metazoa; Mollusca; Bivalvia; Mytilida; Mytilidae.
ACAGAUUGGAACUUAACACAACAGUACCUCUUUUGAAUUGAGGAUGAAUUAACUGUUCUGUGUGCUGCGCUCUGUGGCAUUUAAUCGCUGUUGAAUUAAUCUAAUUAACCUCACUUAUUUAAUGAUUUUAAAAAGCACAAUACGUGGUAAUGGACUAAUAAAUAUUAAAGUAACACAAUGAUAACAUAACAACGUUGUCACUAUGAAUGAUAGUGUGAGGGAAUAUGCCAGACGAACCGCUAAACCAAUAAAAAUAAGGCACAAAAACCUGGGCAGUGAACCAGAUAAUUUCCUUCAAUUUGAGG